UACGUAGGGAGCAAGCGUUGUCCGGAAUCAUUGGGCGUAAAGCGCGCGUAGGUGGCCAUGUAAGUCCGCUGUGAAAGUCAAAGGCUCAACCCUUGAAAGCCGGUGGAUACUGCAUGGCUAGAGUACGGAAGAGGCGAGUGGAAUUCCUGGUGUAGCGGUGGAAUGCGCAGAUAUCAGGAGGAACACCAAUAGCGAAGGCAGCUCGCUGGGACGUCACUGACACUGAGGCGCGAAAGCGUGGGGAGCGAACAGG
Molecule: ribosomal RNA, 253 nt
Filed under: uncultured bacterium
Lineage: Bacteria
Description: partial 16S ribosomal RNA
Rfam family: Bacterial small subunit ribosomal RNA
Source: RNAcentral